GGAAAAUAACGCAAGAAGUCACGUUCAGAUGCAGCUUUGCCUUUGUGCUGACGGCCGGACGGACAGAUUGCUCGGCCCGAGAUAAAUAAUGACGUGGCCUAAAGGCGUGUUGCCUCCAGACUGAUUGCUGCUGCAAAACAAAACCUGGGAAAAGAAGAAGAGCCGGAAGUGAUAUCACCCACCACGACAGACCAAGACAGAUAAUAACAAGUGGAACAGAACACCAAAGCUUCACUGGAGAUGAUGAUGUCACUAGCAUGGUGAUGAAAUGUCUGAGAACAAAUCUACCAGCUCAGCAAGCAAACUGACAACCUGAUCCACAAAUUGAGCUAUAAAUCUUCUCCAAAAUCACAACCAUUCAGUGUCAAUUGACUAAAGUGUUUCAAGAAAAGGACCACCAUUGCAUUUCAGUGCAACAACGGAUGGUCAAUAAAUGUUGCUCCUUUGAACCAUGGUCAUAUUCUUCUUUUUUGAUUCUUUAUAAUUGUUGUGAAGAAAAUGUAUGCAAAUUUUUAAUUUUACAAAAAUAGUUAAAAUAGUAACAUUGGUUUCUUUAUUGUUUGGAAAAAAGAGAAGGUAUUUCUUCACCCAAAGAGUGUUGAGCCUAUGGAAAUAUUUGCCACAGACAGUGGUUGAGUCAAAACCUAGAAAGAAGACAACUAUAGUUCUUAGGGCUAAAGGAAUCAAAAGGUAUGGGGAGAAAGCAGGAACAGGGUUCCUAGUUGGAUUAUCAGCCAUGAUCUUACUGAACAGAUUCAAAGGGCAAAAUAGUCUACUCUGAUUUGUAUAUUGUGUGGUUGAGCAAUAAGGAGAAAGUGAGGAUUGUCGAUGCUGGAGAUCACAGCUAAAAAAUCUGUUGCCUGGAAUUGUUCAGAUUCCUGAAGAAGGGCUUAUGCCCAAAACGUCGAUUCUCCUGCUCCUUUGAUGCGGCCUGACCUGCUGCGCUUUUCCAGCAACACAUUUUUCAGCUCUGGUUGAGCAAUAAG
Hemiscyllium ocellatum (epaulette shark) is the source of this 986-nucleotide long non-coding RNA. RefSeq lists it as uncharacterized. The record is from RefSeq and is a predicted model, not a curated record. The transcript is spliced from 3 exons. NCBI's taxonomy places the organism in Eukaryota, Metazoa, Chordata, Chondrichthyes, Orectolobiformes, Hemiscylliidae.